CAAUCUUUCUUCAUUUUGCUAGUCUUGUUUCUCCAUUCGUUCUCAUCCACUAUUUCAGCUCAGUCUCCGGCAGCAGCCCCCACGCCAUCAGCCACCAACGUGACUGCCGUCCUCGAGAAGGCAGGCCAAUUCACCACCUUGAUCAAGCUCCUCAAAUCCACCAAGAUGGCUGACCAAAUCAACACCCAGCUCAGCACCUCAAACCAAGGCAUGACCCUCUUUGCACCAACUGACAACGCCUUCUCCAGCCUCAAGGCCGGCACGCUAAACUCCAUCUCCGAGCAGCAAAAGCUGCAGCUUGUGCAGUUCCAUGUGCUACCAUCUUUCUAUUCUG
RNAcentral lists this long non-coding RNA (334 nucleotides) under Malus domestica (apple). RNAcentral describes it as "long non-coding RNA (MDOM_LNC011398)". Lineage: Eukaryota; Viridiplantae; Streptophyta; Magnoliopsida; Rosales; Rosaceae. The record is from RNAcentral.